This 240-nucleotide ribosomal RNA is filed under the name uncultured bacterium. RNAcentral's name for it is "partial 16S ribosomal RNA". It matches the Rfam family "Bacterial small subunit ribosomal RNA", at positions 960 to 1201 of the family's 1533-position model. The record is from RNAcentral.
CGCGAAGAACCUUACCUGGGCUUGAAAGUUAGCGACCGACUCCGAAAAGAGUCUUUCAGAAAUGACGCGAAACUAGGUGCUGCAUGGCUGUCGUCAGCUCGUGCCGUGAGGUGUUGGGUCAAGUCCCGCAACGAGCGCAACCCCUAUUCUUAGUUGCCAUCAGGUUAUGCUGGGGACUCUAAGAAGACUGCCCGCGCAAGCGGUGAGGAAGGUGGGGAUGACGUCAAGUCAUCACGGCCC